AAAAACAUGUCUUCUUGUUAAUAUUUUGAAGUCUGUCCUGCUCACUGAUUAAAUUUUGAAGAGCCGCGGUAUUUUGACCGUGCAAAGGUAGCAUAAUCAUUAGUCUCCUAAUUAGGGGCUGGUAUGAAUGGUUUGACGAGAAAUUAACUGUCUCUUAAUAAAUAUUAAAAUUUAACUUUUAAGUCAAAAGGCUUAAAUUUUCCUUAUGGACGAGAAGACCCUAUAGAGCUUUACAUAUUAUUUUUAUAUAUUUUUUGGAUUUUCUUUUUAUAUGGAAUGUUGAUGUUUUGUUGGGGUGACAUGAAGAAUAAAUAAACUCUUCAUUAUAAAAUCAUUAAUUUAUGUUUUGUUGAUCCAUAAUUUAUGAUCAUAAGAUUAAGUUACCUUAGGGAUAACAGCGUAAUCAUUUUCGAGAGUUCUUAUCAACAAAAUGGAUUGCGACCUCGAUGUUGGAUUAAGAUAAAUUUUGGGUGCAGAAGCUCAUAAAUUAGGUCUGUUCGACCUUUAAAUUCUUACGU
Molecule: ribosomal RNA, 518 nt
Filed under: Parepistaurus lobicercus
Lineage: Eukaryota; Metazoa; Arthropoda; Insecta; Orthoptera; Acrididae
Description: partial 16S ribosomal RNA
Rfam family: Archaeal large subunit ribosomal RNA
Source: RNAcentral